This 465-nucleotide ribosomal RNA is filed under the name uncultured bacterium. RNAcentral describes it as "partial 16S ribosomal RNA". It matches the Rfam family "Bacterial small subunit ribosomal RNA", at positions 28 to 507 of the family's 1533-position model. The record is from RNAcentral.
GACGAACGCUGGCGGCGUGCUUAACACAUGCAAGUCGAACGGAAAGGCCGUGCUUGCAGGGUACUCGAGUGGCGAACGGGUGAGUAACACGUGGGUGAUCUGCCCUGCACUUCGGGAUAAGCCUGGGAAACUGGGUCUAAUACCGGAUAGGAGCCAUUUUUAGUGUGAUGGUUGGAAAGUUUUUUCGGUGUAGGAUGAGCUCGCGGCCUAUCAGCUUGUUGGUGGGGUAAUGGCCUACCAAGGCGGCGACGGGUAGCCGGCCUGAGAGGGUGGACGGCCACAUUGGGACUGAGAUACGGCCCAGACUCCUACGGGAGGCAGCAGUGGGGAAUAUUGCACAAUGGGCGCAAGCCUGAUGCAGCGACGCCGCAUGGGGGAUGACGGCCUUCGGGUUGUAAACGCCUUUCGCUAGGGACGAAGCUCUUUGUGACGGUACCUAGAUAAGAAGCACCGGCUAACUACGUG